RNAcentral lists this ribosomal RNA (456 nucleotides) under uncultured bacterium. RNAcentral describes it as "partial 16S ribosomal RNA". It matches the Rfam family "Bacterial small subunit ribosomal RNA", at positions 338 to 795 of the family's 1533-position model. The record is from RNAcentral.
CCUACGGGAGGCAGCAGUGGGGAAUAUUGCACAAUGGGGGGAACCCUGAUGCAGCGACGCCGCGUGGGUGAAGGAGCACCUCGGUGCGUAAAGCUCUAUCGGCAGGGAAGAAAAGCGAACAGGUUCGCCUGGACGGUACCUGACUAAGAAGCCCCGGCUAACUACGUGCCAGCAGCCGCGGUAAUACGUAGGGGGCAAGCGUUAUCCGGAUUCACUGGGUGUAAAGGGAGCGUAGACGGCGGCGCAAGUCUGGAGUGAAAGCCCGGGGCCCAACCCCGGGACUGCUCUGGAAACUGCGGCGCUGGAGUACGGGAGGGGCAGGCGGAAUUCCUGGUGUAGCGGUGAAAUGCGUAGAUAUUAGGAGGAACACCAGUGGCGAAGGCGGCUUACUGGACUGUAACUGACGUUGAGGCUCGAAAGCGUGGGGAGCAAACAGGAUUAGAUACCCCUGUAGUC